Numida meleagris (helmeted guineafowl) is the source of this 6139-nucleotide long non-coding RNA. RefSeq lists it as uncharacterized. The transcript has 3 exons. Lineage: Eukaryota; Metazoa; Chordata; Aves; Galliformes; Numididae. The record is from RefSeq and is a predicted model, not a curated record.
GAUACAGGGUCCAGGGAUACAGGGUCCAGGGAUACAAGCUCUAUGCAACGCGCACGCUAACAAAUCGUUGCCUGAGUUAUCUCCAUAUAUGGGAUAUGUUGUUAACUACAACACUAUGGAUACAGAAUACUAUGGAUAUGCUGGAAUAUACUAGAACACACUGGAAACACCACAUUCCACGUAUCUAGGGAUUACAUCAUUACAUCAUAAAUCAUUAGUAAAUCAGUAGCUACGUGCUGCCGAGCAACCUGCUUCUCAACAGGUUAAAAAGCUAUCCAUUAAGAAAAUACAACAGUGCAUUUUGAGUGUGGGUCAAUCUACUUAGAGGUAAAGUGGUCGUCUGAAAUAUAAGAGGAAGUAAAACCCUGUUUUACUAUUGGACUGUUUCUAUUCAUAUAAGGCAAAGCAAAUGCUACAGUAUUUGAGGGACUGAGACCCUGAGGUGGCAGGUUAAUCCAUGCAAAUAGAGCCUAUGCUUAUUUACAUUCCCAAUCAAAAAGUAAGUCAACCACAUCUAGUACUUAAUGUUAUUGCUUUUACUGUGUGUCAAAUAUACUUUCUGGGUGGAUGGAUAUAACAUUAUUUUCAGAAAUGACAUUAAAAAUAUUAAUAAACUCUGAAAGUACUUUUCAUGUUCAAGCUUAAUGAAACUUACAUUUUAAACACAACAGAAAAAAAAUUGUAGUUGCAAAGGGAAACACACAAGUCAGAAAAUACUAGACUGUAAGUAAUGCGUGGAAUCUUAAUUUCUGCUCUUUUGCAUAAGUAGUAUAAUACAGUUUUUAAUUAGACACUUGUGUUGCUUUGUCUGAGACACUUGCAUCAUUCAGCACACAUGAAUAGCAUUCAGUAAGUAAGCAACUAUUCAAUAUUUUAUUUUCUCCUCAUUAUCCACUGAGUAGCCUUAGGCCACUAUUCAAAUGCUGAUGUGGAGACAGAAUUAUUAACUUCUUGGAUUUUUUGACAGCAUUCAUCAUUAUAAUAUCUGAAUGUUUCAAAAAUAGUAUUUAAUUUCCCUUCACAGAACUCCUAAAAAGUAAGAGGGUAUUACUCCUAUUCAGUAGUUGGGGAACUGAGUCACGACGAUAUCAAUAUCUGAAGUUUAUGACAAUUUUGAGAUUUUAAAGCUCUAUUUGUUUUAAAAAAAAGAUGUUAAGUUUUGUAGAAUUUCAUUUACUCAAAGCAGAAAUCUCAUUAAUUUCAAUUGCAUCAGGAGUUGCACAUUGCUACAAAGCCAAGUUCUAGUGCCAGGGAUCAAAUGAUGAAAUGCAGAUGUCUAUAUUGCAGAUGAUGAUAGCUGAAUUAGUUAUACCUGAGUCCCUUUAUUCAGUGCAGAGACUUUUAAGAUUUGGUUAAUCUCAUUUGUAGCGAGACGUUCCUCAGCUAUGGCAUGAGACAAUGACAAAUGCUUACCUAUGAGGGCUGCUCCAAAAGUAACAUCUUCUAUUUAAUUAUAUUGGUCCCUGACAUCAGAGGCAGAUGUUGGUGGUAUGGCAGCAGAGUUUGAACCUUCCCACCAUGGUGAGGAUUGCCAUUCAACAGAUGGAAGCAGAAGGGUAGUCUGACAAACUGGCAUAUGACAUGGAAAUGUAUAUGAAGCAGAGACAGAAAGAUCUCAGAUGAAGAAGUCUAAAUGUGAGAUGACAACUACGAGGUGAAAGGAAGCCCACUGUGAUACUUUCUGUCUGCGGUGAGUUGGUGAGAAAAAUAUAGUGAAAAAGCUGAAUUCAGUGGUUUGCCCAGCUCUACUUGUGGUGGUUCUAGCAAUGAUGUUAAAGGUGCAAUUCUAUUUCCCAGAAAGGGCAUGAAAAAGAAAUUCAGGUCAUCUAGGUGACACAAUUUUUUCUCUCUUAACUUCAGUUUCUUUCUAUAUUCAUAUUUGAAACACUUUACAAAAAAAAUAAAUAAAGAAAGAAAAAAAUAAAUGAAAAAGUUUUCUACAGAAAAGUAUCUAUUUAAAUAUAACAUUUUGUAAUGUGUACUACAUCUAUGCAUAAACGAUCAGCUUCAUUUUCUGUUGUAGACUCUUCCAGCUGAAGAAUAAAUUGUUGAAUAAAUGGUUGCACCCUACCAUCGUACCCUAGCUCCUCACCUUAAAGCUCAUUCCUAUUAUCUCUCUAUUCUCAUUUUUUGAAUAAAGAUUUGGCAUUAUUAAUGUGUGCACUUCAAAAUUAUUUUCUGCACUUUUUGUCUGAGGAAUAAAAGGAAAGAGAACUGGCAGCUUCACAUACUAACCUCACAAAUUCUUAGAUCCUGCACUUUGUGUAAUAGUAAUCUUGAUGAUUAAUAUUGUAGGGUAAGAAAGUGAUUCAUAAUCCUAAAAUGGAGUAAACUUUCUACAGGAGAACCAGUGAAGUAGUUCCCUUAAAACGAUCCAGUGAAUUUAGUUGCUAAGAUUGAAAAAUGAAUAUUGUGACUGCAAAUGGAUGUUAUCUCAUAACUUAACCAAAGUAGCUUUUCAUGUCAAGAAACACCUUCCUGACUGCAUGGUUCCUUAUCUACUCUGUGUAAGAGCUGCAAAACUAAUUAAAAAUAAUCUACUAGCAAUUCCCUGAAUCCAUAUAUAUAUAUAUAUAUAUAUAUCAUUAUCAUUUAUAACUCCAUAGGGAUACAGAUUAGCAGUUUGCAUAUUUCUAUGAAUUAAAUUUCUGAUUUUGUUUUAUAUUUUGCUAUUCAAGUGACAAUGUUUAGUUCUAUAAUCCUCCUUUUCUAACUGAUAUUUUAAGUCCAGUUGCAGAAUUUAGUUGUACGAUCUAAUCGUUUCUUGAAAUUCACUGUUAUAUUUACCACAUGGUUUGUUUUGUGCCUGUUUUCCAUGACUGGUCAGUUGAUGGAGUUAAUGAUACAAUCAAGAAUUACCUUUCUCACAUUGAACAGCAGUUUACAGGGCAGCCAUAAAUGACAGCUGUGAUUUAGUUCAGGUCAUUGCAUCCAAAUCUUUCUUUAUAUAUUUGCAUUUGUGAGAAAAUAUCUCUCGUAUACUAAAAAUUGGACUGCAUCUUCUGAAGGUUUAAAGUUACAAAGAUUCCUUGAUCAACAAACUUGCAAGGUGCAACCUCAGUAAUUAAUGCAGAGAACUGAAACAGAAUGGAAUUUUACUGUAAAAUAAAUAGUAUUAGUUUUAAAUAUAUAUAUAGCAAACUGAAACAGCUUCUAUUUCUGAAUGGAAAUUUACCCUUUUGCUAAAUAAUGUUUUUAAUUCUAUUGAUAUAUAGGAUAAAUUGUUUGUUCACAGACAAAAACUUACAAAUACCAAAUCAGUGACACCAUUUAAGAGUGCUUUGUUGAGUAUAUGUUUUGCAGCGUUCAUAAUUAGUUACUGAAGGGCAAAAAAGUGUGGGACUGCAUUAAAGAACUAAUUGCAGGCUGAAAGGUUGCAUCAGAAUUUACAGCAUGUCAUUAUUUGAAUGUAGUAUUGCAAAGCUGUGAAUCAGAAAAAUAUUAGUUUGCUUAGCAGGACAGAGGAAUCAUUCUAAGUGUUUUAACAUCAGUAUGAUAUAUUACAAAGCUAUGUUUUACAAAGCCUUACUUGAAAGCAUUGAGAAUAUUGAAAUGAAAAUGAAUUCAUCUGCGUCUGCAACAGAAGAUCUGUAUUCCACCUGUAAUUGAACAUAUAUAACUUUAUAUUUAUUGUGCUUGAAUAAAACUUGGGAACAUAUUGUUUUCAGAAAUCUAAGCAGUAAGUUAAGGCCUUGUACAAAGAUAAUUUAUACUGCAUACAAUAAUGUCUACUGAUCACUAGAGAUUGUCUAAGAUAACAAAAAGGAGAAAUUCUCAGAACAUUGAGGACACUUAAAUAUUUGGCAACUGGCUAAAUUAGAGCUGUUUGGAUAAAUCCCUUUAAUAGGUUUAAACUUUCAGUGCUAUUAAUUCAGAGUAUAUUUCUUAAUUUUUAAUAGAACUUUGAGUAAAUACAAUAGUACUAAGUAGAACAUUUAUAGACUAGAUGUAUAAUGUAGGAAUCAAUGUCAGAAAACAAGUAAAAAAGAAAAGAUAGGCAUAAUCUCAUUAAUACUCACAUUUUAGACUGUAUAAAAGGCAAGAAGGUAAAAUGAGUCCAAGAAAAAAAUACUAGAUUUAAGUGCUAAUCAGUCCUUUUGAGCCAUUCAGAAGUUUAAGGCAGCAAUUUAAUAAGUUUUUUUUUUCAUACAUAGAAACAAAGUCUCUGAAUGUUCGUGAUAUUCACUUCUGAGUACAAUACAGAUUUUGAUAUUACAAUAAGAUUUAUCUUGCGUAUGGUUUGUAAUUUAGGUUUUGCAGUACUGCCUACAGACUAAACAUUAGCAUUUCCCUCUUAAUCUGUAAUAUUACAGUUAAAACAUCAUAACCUUCUAAAUGUUGUACUAAUUAUAUAGUUCGUUCUCACUUGUGACUAUAAUGUAUAUUUAUAUAUUAUGUACUUUUACUUCUGUACUAUCAAGUUCAUAGCAGAUUUUGUUUGAUUUAGUAGUAAUGUGUCUCUAUGCAUACAUCUCUGCUAUAGCAAUACAGAAAAAAUUAGGGCAGACAAUAUAAGUUAUUGUACUUGGAUGCUGUAAGUGUGAAGCACGUGGAUUCAGGGCCUCUGUAUAAGAAAGAAAAACCUUUUUCCAAACUAUUAGAAUCAGUUAGGCACAACAGAUGCAUUUGUUCAGGAUGUUCAUGACUUCUAAGUCCAGACAAGAACUCUAUUUGAAUAAAUUGCGGUUUGAAUAUAUAGUGUGGUUCAUUGUAAGAAUAAACUAUAAAUGAUUCUAAUCCAAAAGAAAAUUGAGACUAGUUUUCAAACAUGUUAAUUACCAAUCAAGUUAAUUGGCAGUCUAGAGCUGAACUUUAGUGACACAGUGUUGAUUUACUUCAGCUGAGCAUCUGGUUUAUAAUACCAGUUUAUACAACACUGCUUAUAUGAAGUAUCCUGAAGAUCAUACACAGGAAAGAUACAACACCAUAAUGAGUGUCCAAGAAAAAAUAAAAGAUAUUAUGUUUUUGUUCAAAAGUCUUUCUCCAGAUUGUAUACAAGGUAAAAAUGAAUAAUUUAACAUAAUUAAAAUGCUUGUUUUAGGCAAUUAUUACGAGAGUUACUAGUUCUCUUAAUUGCAAUAUGAUCAGAUGGCAUACAUAUUUUUGAGAUGCACUAAAUUUUUGCAAUGCUCUUGAUGUGUUUGAGCUAUCUCCAUUUUUCACAUAUAAACUUUUGUGUAGGUUUUACUAAAUUUCAUUAUACUUCUUUCUCACUGAAGAUAGGUAGUUAGACUAAGGAACUGUCGGUCGAAAACUACAGAAAAAUGUAGUAAAUUAGACAUGCACAUGAAAGCUUCCCACCAAGAAGGUGCAGAAGUGUUGGCCCUUUCUCUGUUUAAAUUCUUUUACUCCACAGGAAACAUUCUAAUGGAUCAUUCAAUGGAUUAUUCAAUGACUUUCCUUUCUUCAUUUUCCAGCCCAAAUGGGCUGAAAUCCAUAAUGUAACCCUAACACCGUUAUGAUUCUCUGCAUGAGGAAAUGGUUCUUGGUAUUUGUUCAGAAUUUAUUUUUUUUUCAUUCUUGUCAAUUUAUGUCAUUAUCCUGUCAUCUGUAAGUAAUUGAAUAUAAUAACUCAAGCACACAUCACCUGUUCAAGAAAGGAACUUUUGUUGUGCAGUUCAAUAUUCUUUGAAAUGUCUUAUUGUAUGGCAAUUUCAGGUUUUCAGAAAGGCUGACUACACUAAAGAAAGGAAAAUACAACUCCUUUUCCUUCACUUUACACAAAACUUUUUUCAAAAGUGUCCUAAAACAGUGAAAUAUGUCACAAAAAAAUGUCUGAGAAACUUUUUAUUUCUCUAGUAUGCAUGUCUUACCUUUUUUGAAAACACAUUUCACACUAAAUAUCUUCAAAACAUUUCUACAGGUUACUGUGAAAGUCAGUACUCCAUAACUAUCCAGAACUGGUGUAUAUUUAUAGAGAUAAUAAUAAGACCCAGUGAUUACACUGAUGCACUAAUGCAGAGUCAAAACAAAACAGCAAAAAUCCCCUAAAAAAAUAUUUUUUCUACAAAACUAACAAGAAAGGCAACAGGCAUAUUUUGUCAUAGGGAACUUCAAUGUGAUGAAGUAAGUGACAGAAUUAUUUCAGAAAUUCUUUGGUUUUUUUUCCUAGGCAGUUUGUGGUGACUACUGUGAAAGA